GUUUUGUAAUUCCAAAUCAGACAGUCCUGAAACGACGCAGCUGACACUGUGGGAAGGUGUACUCUCAAUCUGAGGUGGAACUGGUCUGUGCAAUCAAGAACAUUUAUUUUUAUAGCUUUUUGAAAUUAGAGACAAAACAGCAUAUAUAUGGAAGUUGUGGGGGCUCUUAUUUUGUAUUUCCACAUCAGACAGUCCAGAAACGACGCAGCUGACAUCAUGG
Sinocyclocheilus anshuiensis is the source of this 220-nucleotide long non-coding RNA. RefSeq lists it as uncharacterized. NCBI's taxonomy places the organism in Eukaryota, Metazoa, Chordata, Actinopteri, Cypriniformes, Cyprinidae. The transcript has 5 exons. The record is from RefSeq and is a predicted model, not a curated record.